This is a long non-coding RNA of Amphiprion ocellaris (clown anemonefish), 2260 nucleotides long. Lineage: Eukaryota; Metazoa; Chordata; Actinopteri; Pomacentridae. The record is from Ensembl.
UGAAGCCAUUAGGAGUAGUUAAUGGUCUUUCCUGGUGUUGGUAAGUAACACUGACUAAUUGACCAGGGGCGGCAGAUCGCUUUCACCGACUCACAGCAACAGGUGGUCUCCGCUGCAGACGGACGACAAACAAGAUUCACUCUCCUGAAGGCUGAGCCCAAUGGAGCAGAACAGUUAAUGUGGCGGAAAUUUAAAGAGAACAUCACAAGUAUUUGUGCUUAUUUUGUUGGCUGACAAACAGUUCGGAGGACUUUGGGGUUCUUCACUGGAAAUAUCAGGAGUUUGAGGGAUUUCAUGCUCACUUUGCUCCACUACAGAGCUCCUCUAUGAGAUUAAGAGCUUUCUGCGGCAAGCUGACAUGGAAGAAAUUUAGAGAAAAUAGGAUGUGUAACCACCAGCUAAGCUUGUCUUUAUGAGAAAGGAGGGGAUCAGGCUGUUGGAUUGCACCAGCCAAGAGAGGCACAAACAGCAAGUCAGAGGAGGAACUCGGAAAGAAAAACACAUUCCACAUCUGUGCCACACAGCGUGGUUCAUCAACAUCAACAAAUGCAUCCACACGCCCACCCGCAUGUCUUCACUCCAAUCCUGCACACUUCCUCAACCAUCCUACCAGCUCCAACUGUGAUGGGAACUCAGGACAGAAAUUUCAACAUGCAGCUUCCAACACAAAUGACAUCGAGGACCUCUUUUGCUCCAGUCAGUGCCUUUAAAACACCAACACAGAAGUCUGUCAAACCACCAUCCCGAGGGAGAUGGGGUGCACUGCAUGUCUGUAUCGCAUGGAAAAUUCACUACCACAAACAACUCAAGCAAAUGCUGCAAAAACCCAACAGUCUACAUCAAGAGAAUCCUGUCACCAGUUUACCCGACUCAGUGCAACACAAGGAAUCACAGCAGCCCUCCUGCAUGCAUCCGUAUUUGGACUUCUCAUGUGGACACAAUGCAUUUGGAAACACGUGUGAAAGGAGUGAAACUGGCAGAAUAAACCACAACAGAAGUUACCCUUCUGACGUUCGCACACCUUCACCAGCGUCUUGCCACAGUCGUGCAACAAAGAGGGAGCAGCCGGACCAGCCUCCAAACCUGCACUGGAGGGAGAAACCUGAUGAGAAGGAGAAACACAGGAGCUGUCAAACCGACACAAUGAAGGAUUUAUGUCUUACAGAGAAAUCACAGGACCCAAAGGUGACUCCAGAUCUUGUUGGCAGACACAGCAGCUCAGUUUACAGGAAAAGGCAGCUUGAGUGUGAAAGCUUCAUUAAAGUAAAGAGGGCGAAGCAGGAAAUCCUGGAUAACCAGUUUAGUGGUUCUAAGAAUCUGCACUCUGAUCAAUCUCCACUUAUUACGACUCACACACAUCCAGCUUCACACAUUGUACAAAGGCAGCAUAUGAACUUAAGUGAUUUAUCUGUCUUGCAUCCUAACAGCAGUAGAUGCAGCAUCUCUUUUCCAGUCACUGAACUGGAUCCCUACAAAGCUACUUCAUGGGACCAAAUGUUAGACAUUCACAGGAGAAUGGAUCUUCGUGAUAGACAAAAUGUGCUCAAAGACUACUCACUGAAUUCCUGCAAAGUAAUCAGGAUACCUGCUGCAGCUCAGAGGCAACAAAAUGCUCUUUAUGGUUUCUAUGCACCCCCUCUGUAUUUCCCUCCGGCUCUGAGGCAGCAGGAGAUCGUUUACCUGAGAGGAAGGGAAACACUCGCAUCAAGAGAUGUUUCACUACCACUGCAGACGUCACCGCCCUCAUCCUGGCAUUCUGGAAACGUCCUACCCGGAACUGUAAAUCUCAAGGGACUAUCUGAUAAAAAAGGAGAGCAGAUAUUAUCACAACAACAAUCACUCAAUAAUAGUUGAGUUCAGUGUGCAUCGUUUCAGUAGCGCUCCAUGCUGUCCCAAAUGUGAAAACCCAGAGAAAGUGGAGAGCUUUUGAUUACAGUCAAGUAUUACUAACAAAAGAUGCACAAUAGCUUUAGAUAGGGAAAGAGAAUUGUGAAUAAAGCUUGUUGUCCUGGAUAUGUGACUUUCUUACAAUAUGAUUCCCAUGUAAAACUGGUUCUUUCAUUAAACUCAUUAACAUUACUGUGUUUGUUCUUUUUUUGUUUACAUUAAGCUCAGAAUUUGCCAUAAAAAAGCUAAUGUUUGGAGUGAGACAAAUGCUACCCAAAUGUAAAUUUUAAUGGAGGUAAAUCAUAACUAAUUAGUGUAAUCAUUGCUAUGUAACAUGGCUAGGGCGGCGAGCACCAAUUUGAGCUAAAUGUUA